AUGUUGUGGUCUUUGCUCAGGGAAGCGACGGCCUUCUUUUCUUGUAGUGUAAGGUUAGACGGAGGGACUUUCACACUGGAGAGGGUGGCUGAGACUUUCAUCCUGAUUUGCUCUGCUACUGUCUGUGAUAAUUUAUUAAUCCGUAUGGCGGUUUCUGUGGCUGUGAUGAGGUCCACUAUGGGCAACUGUUGCGGAGAAAUGGCGAAAUUGAGUCCUUUGGCUAAAACCCAGAGCAGAGUUGUUCCUAAGAGCUUGCGCCUCGGAUCCACUGUCAGGGGACACAGAGCAGACUUGAUUCUACAGAGAGCACAGAAUCACCUUUUAAGUGAAAGGAUAAGACAGGUCCAUUUCACUAUAGAUGCCCUCCAGAUCAAGAUCAGUCAGACUCUGCAGGAAUUGGAAACCCUUCUACCCUCUCCAAUCUUAGAAGAGGUUCACAAGUUUGUGGACAAGGCUCAGCGGGCCCAACACUCUCAAGGAAAAGAAAGACAACGCAGGAAAUUUCACACCUUGCUUUCAAAAACCCACACUCCUCAGUCUGAAACCACACAACUCAGAGAAGAAAACACACCUGAAGACAGUCGGGAGAAAUGGGUAAAGAACUUUUCAGACCGGAAUCUCACUGAACCUGAAAAGAGGGUUUUAGCCAAAGGACUCAAUUUCGCCAUUUCUCCGCAACAGUUGCCCAUAGUGGACCUCAUCACAGCCACAGAAACGGCCAAAUACAAAUACAACGAAGGCUUCUACAGACAAAAACACGGCUGUGCCAUGGGCUCCCCUGUGUCACCUAUUGUAGCCAACCUUUACAUGGAGGAAGUGGAAAGAAAGGCUCUUGGCUCUUUUAAAGGGAGAGCACCCAGCCACUGGUACAGAUAUGUAGACGACACCUGGGUCAAAAUCAAGACACAAGAAGUGGAAUCCUUCACUGCGCACAUUAACGCCGUGGAUAAAAACAUCAAGUUCACCAGGGAAGACACAAAGGAUAACUGUUUGCCUUUCCUGGACUGCGCUGUGCACAUUGAAGAGAAUGGCAACCUCAACAUUGAAGUUUACCGGAAGCCCACACACACGGACCAGUACCUCCUCUUUGACUCCCAUCACCCUCUGGAACACAAACUUGGAGUAAUUAGGACCCUACACCACCGGGCAGAACAUGUUCCCUCUAAGCCUGAAGGGAAAAAGAAGGAACACACACAUGUAAAGGAAGCACUUAAAACAUGCGGUUAUCCUAAUUGGGUGUUUAUAAAGUCAGCAAACAGGCACAGAAAAGAAGAUCAGACACCAGCGAGGGAGGAUAAGAAAGACAGACGCAACAACGUUGUCAUCCCCUAUGUAGCCGGUGUAUCAGAGAAACUCAGGAGAGUUUUCUCCAAGCACGACAUCCCAGUGUACUUCAGACCCAGCAACACACUCAGACAGAAACUGGUUCACCCGAAAGACAAAACUCCUAAACACAGACUGAACAACGUGGUGUAUGCUGUACAGUGCAGCGAGGAAUGCCCAGACCUCUACAUUGGCGAGACCAAACAGCCACUUCACAAGCGCAUGGCACAACAUAGAAGAGCCACCUCCACAGGACAAGACUCAGCAGUUCAUCUGCAUCUUAAGGAUAAAGGUCACUCUUUCGAGGAUGCCAACGUUCACAUAUUGGACAGAGAGGACAGAUGGUUUGAAAGAGGAGUGAAAGAGGCCAUCUAUGUCCACUGUGAGCGACCAUCUUUGAACAGAGGCGGUGGUUUACGACACCAACUGUCUGCCAUCUAUAAUCCAGUUUUGAGUUCCCUCCCCAGACGCCUUAACGCCCACUCACAUCCUGGGCCAUCUGACCUCAGGAAUUCACAUGACAAGGUGGGGCCAGGUUUCACAAUGAGCUCACCCGAAACCCUGGCUGAUUAG
Long non-coding RNA from Oreochromis niloticus (Nile tilapia), 1896 nucleotides. Lineage: Eukaryota; Metazoa; Chordata; Actinopteri; Cichliformes; Cichlidae. The record is from Ensembl.